Molecule: ribosomal RNA, 227 nt
Filed under: uncultured bacterium
Lineage: Bacteria
Description: partial 16S ribosomal RNA
Rfam family: Bacterial small subunit ribosomal RNA
Source: RNAcentral
UGAGUAACACGUAUCCAACCUGCCGUCUACUCUUGGACAGCCUUCUGAAAGGAAGAUUAAUACAAGAUGGCAUCAUGAGUCCGCAUGUUCACAUGAUUAAAGGUAUUCCGGUAGACGAUGGGGAUGCGUUCCAUUAGAUAGUAGGCGGGGUAACGGCCCACCUAGUCUUCGAUGGAUAGGGGUUCUGAGAGGAAGGUCCCCCACAUUGGGACUGAGACACGGCCCAG